Molecule: ribosomal RNA, 253 nt
Filed under: uncultured bacterium
Lineage: Bacteria
Description: partial 16S ribosomal RNA
Rfam family: Bacterial small subunit ribosomal RNA
Source: RNAcentral
UACGAAGGGGGCUAGCGUUGUUCGGAAUUACUGGGCGUAAAGCGCGCGCAGGCGGUCCUUUAAGUCAGGGGUGAAAGCCCAGAGCUCAACUCUGGAACUGCCUUUGAAACUAGAGGACUUGGGUACGGGAGAGGUGAGUGGAAUUCCGGGUGUAGAGGUGAAAUUCGUAGAUAUUCGGAAGAACACCAGUGGCGAAGGCGGCUCACUGGCCCGUUACCGACGCUCAGGCGCGACAGCGUGGGGAGCAAACAGG